GGAGUAUUGACAGAGCCUGGUAAUGUGGCAUCCUGCUAAGAUGACGCCUGUGGUUAUACCCAGCGGGGGUUCAAAUCCCUCAUACUCCGCCA
This 92-nucleotide transfer RNA is filed under the name Candidatus Riesia sp. Its description in RNAcentral is "tRNA-Ser". It matches the Rfam family "tRNA". From Rfam's summary of the family: Transfer RNA (tRNA) molecules are approximately 80 nucleotides in length. Their secondary structure includes four short double-helical elements and three loops (D, anti-codon, and T loops). Lineage: Bacteria; Pseudomonadati; Pseudomonadota; Gammaproteobacteria; Enterobacterales; Enterobacteriaceae. The record is from RNAcentral.